GACUUCUCUGAGUAGAAAGAGCUAUAAGAAUUAAGGAAGUUUAUCAAGAGAAACUUGUUAUGUAUAUGCAAGUUUAUGUAUAAACUUAAUAGAGCUUGCAGUGCAGAUUGUCAGAUCUUCAACUGCCAAGAAUCAUUACAUGAGAUAUAAGUCAUAUGAGAAAUAAAUACAUAAAUAAAUAAAUUAUGGCUAAGGGAAGUCACUGAUGUUAUAUGCAUUAAGAAUAUUUGAAGUAGCUGUUUGUAGCUUGAAUUCAGUAAGUGAUGGGUUAAUGGUAAUCAGGAAUAUGCCAUCACUUUCUAACAAAUGAAAAUUGAAUUAAAUGAGGAUUAUUUGUUUCAUUCACUUCAUGAAUGAGUUCUGAAAAUCUUAUAUCUAUCUAUGGCUCAUUCAUUACUCAGUCAGAGAUAUUUUCCAUUAGCAACCAGAAGAGGUCAGAUGGAGGUUAAAAGAAUAAAAUGAUAAAAGUAUGGGAAGAAAGAUGGUCAGUUUAGACUCAAAUACUUUUAACCUAAGUCCCUAUGCAUAGUUUUGGAAGUGUUUACUGGAAGGCCAUAUAGAAUUAUAAACAUGCAAAGUAGCUUGUAUUUUUUACAUAAGAUUUUUUUCUUUUGGAAAUUCUGUGUGUGUAGGUUGUAUUGUUAAUAUGUUCUUCAUACUAACAGUAUGUAAGCAGUUAACGAUUUAAUUUUCUUCAAGGAUUUUUAACUUAAUCUACACUAUUUUUCUAUGCUUUUCCUUUAUUUAGUUAAUAUGAAAGAUAAUUUGAUUUCUAUGUGACUAUGAGUGGUUCUACACAACAUCCUAGGAUGAAAAUUCAACUGGCUACCUUGUUUUGUGAACCCAAUUGACUAAUUUAAGGUCAAAAAUGAUGUGUGAAUUCAGGCAAUUGAAUUAAUUCAGUGAACCAUGGUUUACUUAAAUGUAUGAUGAAAUAAUCCUACAUUUAAUUCCUAUUACAUAGAGUUUUAUGAAUGUGAAAGCUUUGUCCCACUGGGAGAAAACUUCACAUCUAUCAUUCAAGUUUUGUGUGGUUAUUUUGAAGAUUAGGUUUUUGUAUAUCCAUAUAUCUGUAUGCAUUGGGAACACAUUUCUGCCAUAGCUGUCUAGAGUGAAAGCGACUUCUGCUUAUCACACAAGUCUCAGGAGUGCCUCGGAGCAAGCACCCAAAAUCUCAAUGCAGCUGCUUUGAAGUUUUAUGAUGUGGAUCCAGAAGGGUGCUUCAUUUUGCUGAAGAAACUGCACAAGCUUACUAUUAAAUACUGUUUCUUAAUCUGUGAAAUGUUGACAGUUCAGAUAUGUAUUUUUAGAUUUAUAUCCAGCCUUCCUUCCAGGAGCUCUGCUUCAUCCCCUACCUCAUUUUAUCAUUGGAACUCAUAAACAAGAUUUAUAUUUGCACCACACAUUUAAUUCUGCAAUUGAAAGUGGAACAGAUAACAUUUCCGUCAUCUGUUAUGUCUCACAAGUACUCUGUGAGCUACUUUGGGUCAAGAAAGAGGAUGAUUGAAGUUAUUGAAGAAGACCAUAUUCAUUGUCAAAACAGUGUUUGGAGGAUUUUGUCUUUUACCAGACUAUAAAAGAAAAGAUAGAAGAGGCGUAUUUGGAGAAUGGACAGUAUUGGGAAUUAUUACUUUGUGCUGCCUGCCCUAAAUAUGUUAUGUACUUAAGUACAGGUCUUUAGUCAUCUCAAGUAGCUGUUUGGCCUCUUUUUAUGAAUACUAAGCUCCCUGAGAUUCAGAAUCAAUAAAAACAAUUUCUGCAGGGAAAGGAGAAAUGUUAUUUGGGAAGCUGAAAUAUGCUUUUGCAUUAAAAUGUCUCUUUUUCUAGAUUAUAUGGAUAUUUUAGAAGCAGGACUGCCAACAUUCAAAAAUAAAAUAGAACUCUCCAAUGAGUUAUAAAACAUCUUUCUCUAGCAGAAUAGAAUAUAUAGACAGGAGAAAAUAGUUCCCUGGUGAGGUAAACGUACAAUGAAUAACAUUGCAUACACUAAUUCUAGGCUGAAAGCUAUUCUCCAAAGGAAAUGAAUAAUGGCAUUCCAUUAGAGAAUUGCACCAUCUAACUUUCAUCUGAAAGCUCUAUUAUCAAUGAAUUUGUUUCUGAGAUUCUUCUGUUGCUUCUGAGAUGGCACUGCUGAAGUCAGUUAUUCUUUUUGGAGCAAAAAUUAAAACAUGACCUCUUAAACUCUUGGCUGAAACUAGAUCUGCACACUAAGAAAAGAUUUAAAGAAGUUUGCAAGCUUCAGAGUUCAUCAAUAUACCUCGUCAGGAUUGAAAGUAAGCAAAAUGAAAAAAACAAAGAAUAAAUGAAACUUUUGAUAAGAUGAAGAAGUGAGAAUAUUAUGUUUAUUUUGAAUUAAAUUGUUUUAUUUAAUGCAUUUAUUAAAUAAACCCCUGUAUUUUUAAUUUAUGUUUGCCUAAUGGACAAAUACUACUAUCU
This is a non-coding RNA of Pseudonaja textilis, 2436 nucleotides long. NCBI's taxonomy places the organism in Eukaryota, Metazoa, Chordata, Lepidosauria, Squamata, Elapidae. The record is from RefSeq and is a predicted model, not a curated record.